AGGAUGAACGCUGGCGGCGUGCUUAACACAUGCAAGUCGAACGAUGAACCUCACUUGUGGGGGGAUUAGUGGCGAACGGGUGAGUAACACGUGAGUAACCUGCCCUUAACUCUGGGAUAAGCCUUGGAAAACGGGGUCUAAUACCGGAUAUUUACGAUUGAUCGCAUGGUUGGUUGUGGAAAGAUUUAUUGGUUUUGGAUGGACUCGCGGCCUAUCAGCUUGUUGGUGAGGUAAUGGCUUACCAAGGCGACGACGGGUA
Molecule: ribosomal RNA, 259 nt
Filed under: uncultured bacterium
Lineage: Bacteria
Description: partial small subunit ribosomal RNA
Rfam family: Bacterial small subunit ribosomal RNA
Source: RNAcentral